RNAcentral lists this ribosomal RNA (1545 nucleotides) under Triticum aestivum (bread wheat). Its description in RNAcentral is "partial small subunit ribosomal RNA". Lineage: Eukaryota; Viridiplantae; Streptophyta; Magnoliopsida; Poales; Poaceae. The record is from RNAcentral.
AUGGGUUCAGCAGACUCAAGUUUCAAAGAAGUGGAAUGGAGUGUCUUAUACACUGCCCAACUAAUUCAAAAGGCAAAGAAGUUUCAUGAUGGCGUUAUAAGGCUUGUCCAAGCUGGUCCAAAUGUAAAGCAGAUUCUUUUACUGGAUGAAGAAGGUGGAGUGCUUGGCACCAGAUAUUUCAAUCCAGGUGAAUCUAUUGAAUGUGGAAAGAGAUGUCAGUUUCCUAAUCAUAUUAUCGAAGUCACUGAGCUCAGAAAUAAAAUGAAAGAUGUAGAACACACACAUGCUGCUGGGGAGGCUUCAAGUCACACAGUGCCUAAGAAUGGAGAGAAUAUGCGUGAAAAGGAUGACAAAAGUAAAUCUCCAAAGUUUGUUAGUCCAUUCAAGCUCCAUGAUCAUCGGAAGACUAAAACAAGAAGCACUACCGACUCUAACAAGCCACAGGUCGGAAAAUCAGCAUGUAGUAACGUGGGCGAUCCACUUAACUAUCAUGUAUUUACGGAUCUUCAGAGGGGUAAACCAGAUUGCACGGUUGGUUACAGAAGAACAGACCUGGGGUCAACAUCUAGCGACAUCGACAAUCAACAUAAAUUCAAUGAUUUUGCAGAUAACCAGAGGGGCACAUCAGAACUAUCUACCAGCAAAUCAACAUUUAAUGACCUGGGAAAAUCAACAUUUGGUGGAAUGGAUGAUCCACAUAAAUUUGAUGAUUUUGCAGGCACCCAGAGGGGUACAUCAGGAUUUUCUACCAGUUAUAACCGGCCAGAAGUUGGCAAAUCAACAUUUAAUGACCUGGGAAAAUCAACAUUUGGUGGCAUGGAUGAUCCGCAUAAAUUUGAUGAUUUUGCAGAUAUCCAGAGGGGUAAAUCAGGAUUUCCUACCAGCUAUAACCGGCCAGAAGUUGACAAAUCAAUUCUUAAUAGAAUGGAUGAUCCACUAAAAUUUUGUGGUCUUCGGGAUGGCAAAUCAGUGUGUCCCACUAGUUUUGUCAGGAGAGAGGUUGGAAAAUCAAAAUUUGGCAACGCUGAUGAUUCUUUACGGACUGCUUCCCAAAUACUAUCUAUCAUGAAGCCCCCAGCUGGAUUGUCUCACUUUGCUACCCAGCUUCGUACAUCUGUGCAAUCUUGCUUGAAGCUGGAUACUGCACAUGCAAAGAACUCAGCAAUCACUCAUAAUAGGAAUGAAUUAUCAGGGAAUGCUUAUCCAACUUACAAUCAUCAGGCCAUCAUGAAACCACCAGCUUUUGAUGCUUCGGACUUGGAAUUGAUAGAUCUCCCAGGAUCUGAGAUGUGCAAUGCAAACGAGCAGAAACUAGAAUCAUCAGGCAAUCUUAACACUGUAAACUGUAAUGGUACAGGUUCUGCGCCAAUUCCGAAUGACACUAGCAUGCCAAACGUGCGAGAAGACAAAAGUGGAAGUGCAGAUCAGCUCGGUGCAAAAAACACAGCAGAGGACCCUAAAUAUGAUGGCCCUUCUCGUACGUGUAGAGAUCCCACGAUCCAGGAUUUGAUAGAUGACUGCCCUUCUUUUGAUCUUGGCUUCUAA